UUCGGCCAUAGUGGCGCACGGGUGAGUAACGCGUGGGAACCUACCCUGAAGUGGGGGAUAACCUCGGGAAACUGAGGCUAAUACCGCAUAUGCCCCGAGGGGCAAAGGCUUCGGUCGCUUUAGGACGGGCCCGCGCCCGAUUAGGUAGUUGGUGGGGUAAAGGCUUACCAAGCCGACGAUCGGCAGCUGGUCUGAGAGGAUGAUCAGCCACACUGGGACUGAGACACGGCCCAGACUCCUACGGGAGGCAGCAGUGGGGAAUAUUGGACAAUGGGCGCAAGCCUGAUCCAGCCAUGCCGCGUGAGUGAAGAAGGCCUUCGGGUUGUAAAGCUCUUUCAGCGGGGACGAUGAUGACGGUACCCGCAGAAGAAGCCCCGGCUAACUUCGUGCCAGCAGCCGCGGUAAUACGAAGGGGGCUAGCGUUGUUCGGAAUUACUGGGCGUAAAGAGUACGUAGGCGGUCCGUUAAG
RNAcentral lists this ribosomal RNA (469 nucleotides) under uncultured Magnetospirillum sp. RNAcentral describes it as "bacterial SSU rRNA". It matches the Rfam family "Bacterial small subunit ribosomal RNA", at positions 85 to 587 of the family's 1533-position model. Lineage: Bacteria; Pseudomonadati; Pseudomonadota; Alphaproteobacteria; Rhodospirillales; Rhodospirillaceae. The record is from RNAcentral.